GACGAACGCUGGCGGCGUGCUUAACACAUGCAAGUCGAACGGAAAGGCCCUGCUUUUGUUGGGUGCUCGAUUGGCGAACGGGUGAGUAACACGUGAGUAACCUGCCCUUGUCUUUGUGAUAACUUCAGGGAACUGGGGCUAAUACCGGAUAGGAUCUCCUGCUGCGUGGUGUUGGUUGGAAAGUUUCGGCUGUUGGGGAUGGACUCGCUGCUUAUCAGCUUGUUUGUGGGGUAGUGGCUUACCAAGGCUUUGACGGGUAGGCCGCAUGAGAGGGUGACCGGGCACAUUGCGACUGAGAUACGGCGCAGACUCCUAUGGGACGCAGUAGUGGGGAAUAUUGCACAGUGGGCGGAAGCGUGAUGCAGAAACGCCGGGUGCGGGAUGCCCGGCUUCGGGUUGUAAACCGCUUUCGAAUGUGACGAAGACUGAGUGACGGUAAUGGGUAAAGAAGCACCGGCUAACUACGUG
Molecule: ribosomal RNA, 468 nt
Filed under: uncultured bacterium
Lineage: Bacteria
Description: partial 16S ribosomal RNA
Rfam family: Bacterial small subunit ribosomal RNA
Source: RNAcentral